GAUGAACGCUGGCGGCGUGCCUAAUACAUGCAAGUCGAGCGAACAGAUGAGGAGCUUGCUCCUCUGACGUUAGCGGCGGACGGGUGAGUAACACGUGGAUAACCUACCUAUAAGACUGGGAUAACUUCGGGAAACCGGAGCUAAUACCGGAUAAUAUAUUGAACCGCAUGGUUCAAUAGUGAAAGACGGUUUAGCUGUCACUUAUAGAUAGAUCCGCGCCGCAUUAGCUAGUUGGUAAGGUAACGGCUUACCAAGGCAACGAUGCGUAGCCGACCUGAGAGGGUGAUCGGCCACACUGGAACUGAGACACGGUCCAGACUCCUACGGGAGGCAGCAGUAGGGAAUCUUCCGCAAUGGGCGAAAGCCUGACGGAGCAACGCCGCGUGAGUGAUGAAGGUCUUCGGAUCGUAAAACUCUGUUAUUAGGGAAGAACAAAUGUGUAAGUAACUAUGCACGUCUUGACGGUACCUAAUCAGAAAGCCACGGCUAACUACGUG
This 497-nucleotide ribosomal RNA is filed under the name uncultured bacterium. RNAcentral describes it as "partial 16S ribosomal RNA". It matches the Rfam family "Bacterial small subunit ribosomal RNA", at positions 28 to 507 of the family's 1533-position model. The record is from RNAcentral.